Molecule: long non-coding RNA, 1422 nt
Organism: Hypomesus transpacificus
Lineage: Eukaryota; Metazoa; Chordata; Actinopteri; Osmeriformes; Osmeridae
Exons: 3
Source: RefSeq, a predicted model, not a curated record
AAAGCAGCACUGAUCUGAUUGCUCGAGUUUAUUGGAAAAUGGAGGGAGUCAGAGUGGGCAGAGCCUGCAGUGCUUCUCUCCAGCUUAUUCAGACGGUGGACCCAGGGAAGUGCUUUAGUCUUUACCUAGUUAGCACCCUUAUCAGUUAGGGGUCACUUUGGAUGGGGAGCUACAGGGAGAUGUUUUAAUGUCAUUUUGUUGUAGAUUCUGACAGGAAAUAGGCCAGUCAAUGGUUCUCUGCUUGAUCAAAUACACGUAGGACAGGUAGACUUCAGAGCAGCCAUGGACUGUUGGGGUUCUCAGCUUGCGGCCACCUUUUCCCUAGUCCCUGAAGCCCCCCCGAUCUUAUCACCCCUUCUGAUUUCAUUUGGCCGUCGCCAGCUAAUCAGGGGCCAACAUCUGGAUGGUUUCCUUGGCAACCAGCUCUACAAAAUAUCCAGGGCCUUAAAAGGGCUCUCUGACCCAGCAAUGGCUGCGCACAAACAGAAUAGGCUCCUGAGUGAGAAAAACAGAAGCAGACCAUGGUAGUGGACAUACAGAGAGCCAGGCAAUACUCUCGCUCCCAGCCCUCAGCCCCUUCCCAGCCCAUGUCCAUCCGGACAAGUGUGAAUGUAUUUAUUUUGUCAUUUGCCUAGCCUGUUUAUGGUCCAGCUUCACUGAUUGGCUGUUUAAUGUAUCUGUUUUGUUUGUUCAGAGAACCUGCUGAUCACCAUGCAUUGUUUGCCCCUCCCUCUUGUUGGGUAGGCCUCCCUCUUUUGACUGGUGCUUCCCCCCUUUUGCAGACUAUGACUCCGUCUUAUGAUUGGCGCUCCCUCCCUCUCAUUAAGUAGGACUCCCUAUUUUGAAUCUCCUCCCUUAUUCAUGCACACAGUUAAUAGGGUCCAUUACACUUGGCUCCCCGGGGCAACUAAAAACCUCAUUUAGCAUGGCCUUUUCAGCCAAGACGGGAAACGCCAGACCCCCUCCCCCUAACCGGAUUAGGAACCGGCCAACGGAUGGGCCCCGGGACAGGACUCCCUGGUCCAGCCACUUAAGACCACUCCACACCCUUGGAACCUUAGGGGACGGAGGGAGGCACAGAACCACUUGAUGAACAAUGUUUCCUGAUUUAACUUGAGAGUGGGUGACAUAUUGGUUAGUUUAUUUGUUUCUGCUACUUUAAGCUGUAUGCAGCAAUACUUUUUUUGUCAUUUUUUGCCUGCUUACGCACAGACAAAUUAUAACCAAUCUUCUCUGGUCUUGAAAAAUGACUCAAAUGUUUGUUUUUCAACGCAACCUCAAUUAUGGUCUGCUGCUGUCUGAACAAGCCAGCACAAGCGCUGCAAGUUCAACUAUUAACCCACAAAGAUUCCUGUAAACUGUGUAGCUCUGAGUUGUAACAAUGUUUUUUUUUGUGUAUACAGUCUCUCUCUCCCCCUUCAU